CGGGUGACGUCGUCGGCGGCACGCCAACCUGCACGUUCGUGCAAGCCGCCUGCUGGCGUCAGAGCAGUGACGAUGACGCACCCG
Molecule: small RNA, 84 nt
Filed under: Streptomyces turgidiscabies Car8
Lineage: Bacteria; Bacillati; Actinomycetota; Actinomycetes; Kitasatosporales; Streptomycetaceae
Description: gntR-DTE RNA
Rfam family: gntR-DTE RNA
Source: Rfam by way of RNAcentral